GAUGAAGAACGUAGCGAAAUGCGAUAAGUAGUGUGAAUUGCAGAAUUCAGUGAAUCAUCGAUUCUUUGAACGCACAUUGCGCCCUUUGGUAUUCCUUAGGGCAUGCCUGUUCGAGCGUCAUUUAAACCUUCAAGCUAAGCUUGGUGUUGGGUGACUGUCCGCCUCACGGCGGACUCGCCUCAAAAUUAUUGGCGGCCGGUACAUUGGCUUCGAGCGCAGCAGAAACGCGAACUCGGGCCCGUCGUAUUGGCUCCCAGAAGCUAUCUUCACAAUUUUGACCUCGGAUCAGGUAGGGAUACCCGCUGAACUUAAGCAUAUCAAUAAGCGGAGGA
This 332-nucleotide unclassified non-coding RNA is filed under the name soil metagenome. RNAcentral describes it as "partial contains 5.8S ribosomal RNA, internal transcribed spacer 2, and large subunit ribosomal RNA". The stretch from base 1 to 120 matches the Rfam family "5.8S ribosomal RNA", at positions 35 to 154 of the family's 154-position model. The record is from RNAcentral.